GACCUCAAAUCAGGUAAGAACACCCGCUGAACUUAAGCAUAUCAAUAAGCGGAGGAAAAGAAAAUAACAAUGAUUCCCCUAGUAACUGCGAGUGAAGAGGGAUAAGCUCAAAUUUUAAAUCUGUUUGGUUCUACCUGACAGAGUUGUAAUUUAAAGAGACGUUUUCUGUGUCUUGAGUUAAUCAAAAUCCUUUGGAAUGAGGUAUCAUGGAGGGUGACAAUCCCGUUCAUGGUUAAUUCUAAGAUACUUUAUGAUGCGUUUUCGAAGAGUCGAGUUGUUUGGGAUUGCAGCUCAAAAUGGGAGGUAAAUUUCUCCUAAGGCUAAAUAUUGGCGAGAGACCGAUAGCGAACAAGUACCGUGAGGGAAAGAUGAAAAGAACUUUGAAAAGAGAGUUAAACAGUACGUGAAAUUGUUGAAAGGGAAACGAUUGAAGUCAGUCGUACCAGCGGGAAAUCAACCUUUCGAGUGGGGGUUUUGGAGUUUUGAAGAGUGGUUAAAACCUUUGAGAUUUCAAAAAUUUCGCUCUUUUGGUGUACUUUCUCGUGGGUAGGUUAACAUCGAUUUUGAUCAUCAUAAAAAGAUUGGAGGAAUGUAGCUUCGAUCUUGUAUUGAAGUGUUAUAGCCUUUGGUAAAUGUGAUGAUUAGGAUCGAGGAUUGCAACGAAUACCCUUUUGGGCUAUCCGCCUGAUCUCUGAUACGUGGCCUUGGUAUCGAAAGCGUGCUUAUGGUAUUGAGGUAUUACGGUCAAAAGGUUAGAACGGAUUACAUUCGUUAAGGAUGUUGACGUAAUGGCUUUAAACGACCCGUCUUGAAACACGGACCAAGGAGUCUAACAUAUAUGCGAGUGUUUGGGUGUUGAAACCCUUACGCGAAAUGAAAGUAAUUCUGGUGAGAUCCAUUUUAUUAUGGUGCAUCAUCGACCGAUCAGGAUAUUU
RNAcentral lists this ribosomal RNA (935 nucleotides) under Septoglomus viscosum. Its description in RNAcentral is "eukaryotic LSU rRNA". It matches the Rfam family "Eukaryotic large subunit ribosomal RNA", at positions 1 to 779 of the family's 3401-position model. Lineage: Eukaryota; Fungi; Glomeromycota; Glomeromycetes; Glomerales; Glomeraceae. The record is from RNAcentral.